This 86-nucleotide transfer RNA is filed under the name Patescibacteria group bacterium. Its description in RNAcentral is "tRNA-Tyr". It matches the Rfam family "tRNA". Rfam says of the family: Transfer RNA (tRNA) molecules are approximately 80 nucleotides in length. Their secondary structure includes four short double-helical elements and three loops (D, anti-codon, and T loops). Further hydrogen bonds mediate the characteristic L-shaped molecular structure. tRNAs have two regions of fundamental functional importance: the anti-codon, which is responsible for specific mRNA codon recognition, and the 3' end, to which the tRNAs corresponding amino acid is attached (by aminoacyl-tRNA synthetases). tRNAs cope with the degeneracy of the genetic code in two manners: having more than one tRNA (with a specific anti-codon) for a particular amino acid; and 'wobble' base-pairing, i.e. permitting non-standard base-pairing at the 3rd anti-codon position. The record is from RNAcentral.
GGGCAGGUGGUAGAGCGGUCAAUUACAACAGACUGUAAAUCUGUCGCCUCCGGGCUACGCAGGUUCGAAUCCUGCCCUGCCCACCA